This 377-nucleotide long non-coding RNA is filed under the name Triticum aestivum (bread wheat). RNAcentral describes it as "long non-coding RNA (TAES_LNC003745)". The record is from RNAcentral. Lineage: Eukaryota; Viridiplantae; Streptophyta; Magnoliopsida; Poales; Poaceae.
UAAACAGUAGUGGACCUCACUGACAGUCUCACAUACGGCCGGAUUAAUUCCAGAAUUCAAGUUCCUGCAACCAAAUUGGCAAAUUCACAUUUCACAAGGCACGGUCGAUCCAUUCCAACUCAACUGAACUUGAAAUUACUCGGGCGGGCGAAUUCACAGUUUUACAGAAGCAAAUUGACUGGGUCGGUCAUCCCAGAUCGAGAUCAUCCACGCUUUUACAGCUCCACGCACGCACCACAAACUGACUCGACUGACCGACCGAUCGACGGAUCCCAGGACUGAUUGAUUCAAAGCAAACGAGGCGAGCUCCGCAUACAUGCAUCAUGGCAUGCGGCGACCGCGCGAGAAACUAAAACGACUGAUGACGGGAAGGAAGG